RNAcentral lists this ribosomal RNA (253 nucleotides) under uncultured bacterium. RNAcentral's name for it is "partial 16S ribosomal RNA". It matches the Rfam family "Bacterial small subunit ribosomal RNA", at positions 524 to 776 of the family's 1533-position model. The record is from RNAcentral.
UACGUAGGGUGCAAGCGUUGUCCGGAAUUAUUGGGCGUAAAGAGCUCGUAGGCGGUCUGUCGCGUCGGCUGUGAAAACCUGGGGCUCAACUCCGGGCCUGCAGCCGAUACGGCUGACUAGAAUUCGGUAGGGGAGACUGGAAUUCCUGGUGUAGCGGUGAAAUGCGCAGAUAUCAGGAGGAACACCGGUGGCGAAGGCGGGUCUCUGGGCCGAUGACUGACGCUGAGGCACGAAAGCGUGGGGAGCAAACAGG